GUUUGAUUAACUGAAGUUCAUUCCUUCACAAAGCUGUUUGUUUAUGCUCCAACUCUCAUGGUUGGCCCUGUAUACUUUGGUGUUUUAAAAAAAGAAAGCAUUUUUCCUCUUACCCUUAGGUGCUCCUCUUUUCAUCACCCACCUAGCUCUUUCUAUAUCAUUUCUUCAUCUAAAAGGCUGUCUCUGAGUUACCUGCAGAUGGUACUUCAAAUGCCCUCCCUCAUCUCUUUGCUACAGUGAUGCAGUGUUGCCCACUACACACAGCUGAGACAGAACAAAAACACAUUCUUUAUGGAGAAACAGGCAAACAGAACCCCUACGGACUCAAGAACAUUGGCUGGUGGCUCAGCAUACACAAAACAAGAAAGAGAAAAAUCACAGAUAGAGCACAGCAUGUUACUCUGUAAGAGCCAUCUUGAAUUGCUGCACAGCCACCCUCCCGCUCCCACACACAGACAACAACCUGGGCAGCUCCUUACUUUUAAAGCCUAUGGUAUGGACCAAGCUAACAAGUCAAAUGACUUUAUGUUACUGCAUGAUGAGCUUCUAAACAAGGACAAAACCAUCAAGGAGCAUGAAGAGGUUUUUCAUAAAGGUUCUGAUCUACCUUCAAAAUGGACAUCUCUGCAGAUCACUAAAAGUGCUGAUAGCAAGAGUAUGAAGUUUCUUGCAAAGUUGGCCAAAGAUGCACACCAGAGACCGGGCUUGAGGAAGCAGGUUGCUGAUCACAACUUUGCCAGCAAGUGUUUAUUGUAUGUCCCAAGAUAUUUUGUACAAAUGUAUGACCUAACAGUUCUUACACAAACUGGUAUAGCACAAGAUGUUUUGCAUGAAGACACUAGAUUUUCCAGUGACAAAAUUGCAAGAAGCCAAAGGAUGAUGAAACAGGAUAAAACUUGUAUAGUCAGACAUUUCAAAUCUUUACCAGAAGUAUGGGUCACUUUCUGAUUGACCAUCAUCAGCUUUGCCAAGAGGAACUAGGCCGAGUUGCCCAACAAAAAAAUUUUCAGUUUUGUUCAACACAGUGCUCCUUGACCCCAAAACAUGUGGUUGAGAGAUGAGGAUUGUCAUCAGCAGACCGUCAAUGGGAUUUGUGCUCCUAAAUCACUUAGGCAUUUUUGAAAAUCCCACAUCUGAUUCUUAUUUACCUUAACAACAUUAGCAAUGGAACACUGUCUUGAACUGGGCUUGUACGUUGACACCUACUUUACAAGCCCCUUUUCAUUCCCAGAGCUGGUGAAAAAGAGCCUUAGGUUUGGUCUUUAUCACCAACUUAUGUCAGUAUAAACUACGUUGCUCAGAGGUAUGGAAAAUCCAUACCCCUGAGUGACGUAGUUCUCCUGACCUAACCCCCAGUGUAGACAGUGCUAUGGAGGACUUCUCCUACUGCCUCUUGGGGAGGUGGAGUACUUACGCUGAUGGGAUCUUCACUAAGCGCUACAGUGGCACAGCUAUACUGGUGCAAUUGCAUCACUGCAGCACUGUAAGUGUAGACAAGCCCUUAUGCUGUGUCUACACUACAGACUUCCACCAGCGUAGCUACAUGAGGAAGUGUGAGCUCUGUCUGACACUGCAGAAGUGCAGAUGCCGUUAAACUGUACUUUUGCCGGGAUAGCUUGUUUUGCUAAUGGGGGGGGGGGAGGAGUAGUUUUACUAAAACAGAACAAAGUGCAGCUCCACAUUAUGAGCACUUUGAUAGUAUAGUAUAUUGGUAUUCCUGUACUGAUAAAGCACUUCUGGUGUAAACAUGGUGUUUGCAUAAGUGAGAAUCAGGAUCUCAUGUCUGAUGCCCCCAACCCUGGUUAUUCAUUGUGGAUGUUGUCUCUGUGUUCAUAUGUUUUUAUUGUGGUAGUUAUAAAUUUGGGGAGCAUUUUUGUUAUUAGCAUAACAUUAAAUAUAGUAUUGUGUUUUUGAUUGUUGUAAAGGCUCCCAGAGGUUUGGGUGAGGG
Molecule: long non-coding RNA, 1948 nt
Filed under: Chrysemys picta bellii (western painted turtle)
Lineage: Eukaryota; Metazoa; Chordata; Testudines; Emydidae
Description: lncRNA (ENSCPBG00000008721.1)
Source: RNAcentral